AAAAAAUUGCAACAAUCAUUUUCUCUCUCCACUCCCCGCCGGCCACUCUCCCCCCUCUACUAACGUGUCCACUCUCUCAAAUCUUAUCAUCUCCUUCCCUCUGUCUCUUUCAUGGCUUCCACUCUCACUCUUCCUCCUCUUUAAUCUCCUCCAAUUUUCUCUCUCCUCCUUUCUCCCAUGGCUUCCAACUCUCUCACCUCCUCCUCUAAUGGCGACCACUCCUCUAAAAAACCCAAACUCAACCACCUUUCUUUCCCCCACCACCACCAACAACAAUCUCAUCAAGAACAAGAACAAGAAAAAACCCUAAUUACCGCCGCAGAAAUCGCCGCGGAAUUCUCCCACCACGACCCAACAAUCUCUCGCAUCAACAACGGUAGUUUCGGUUGCUGCCCCUCCACAAUCCUCGCCGCACAACGCCGCCAUCAACUCCUCUUCCUCCGUCAACCCGAUCAUUUCUACUUCUCUCUCCUCCGUCCAGCUAUCGACUCCUCUCGUCGUCAUCUUCUUCCUUUAAUCAACGCCUCUAACCUCGACGAAAUCUCCCUCGUCGAUAACGCCACCACCGCCACCGCCGUCGUUCUUCAGUACGUCUCUCGCGCUUUUUCCGAACGCCGUUUCUCCGCCGGUGAUGCCGCCGUUAUGCUUCACUACGCUUAUGGGUCUGUCAAGAAGUCUGUUCAUGCUUACGUCACUCGCGUUGGAGGACAUGUCAUUGAGGUACCUUUACCUUUUCCUGUUUAUGAUGAGGGUGAUAUUGUUAGGGAGUUUAGAAAUGCGUUGAAUGUUGCGAAAUUGGAGAAUCGUAGGGUUAGGUUGGCUGUUAUUGAUCAUAUUACUUCUAUGCCUUGUGUUGUUUUGCCUGUUAAAGAUUUGGUUAGGAUUUGUAGGGAGGAAGGUGUUGAUCAUGUUUUUAUCGAUGGGGCACACGCUAUCGGCUGUUUAAAGGUUGAUAUGGAGGAGAUUGGGGCUGAUUUUUAUACCAGUAAUUUGCAUAAGUGGUUGUUUUGUCCUCCUUCGGUUGCGUUCUUGUAUUGCAGGAAGAGGAGGAAGAAGGAAGGGGUGGUGGAAGAGGAUGAUGAUGAUGUGCAUCAUCCUGUGGUUUCUCAUGAGUAUGGGAAUGGAUUGCCAGUUGAGAGCGCGUGGAUUGGGACGCGUGAUUAUAGCUCCCAGCUUGUGGUGCCGGAGGUUUUGGAGUUUCUUGGUCGGUUCGAGGGAGGGAUUGAUGGGAUUAUGAGGAGGAAUCAUGAGAAAGUUAUUGAGAUGGGAGAGAUGUUGGUGGAAGCUUGGGGGACUCAUCUAGGGUGUUCCCCUAAAAUGUGUGCUAGUUUGGCCAUGGUGGGGUUGCCUCUUUGUUUGGGGAUUCAAAGUGAUGAGGAUGCUUUAAAGUUGAGGACUCAUUUUAGGGAGAAAUUUGGUGUGGAGGUUCCGAUUCAUUUUAGGCCGCCUAAGGAUGGGGAAGUCGGAUGUUUAACUGGAUAUGCUCGGAUUUCUCAUCAGAUUUAUAACACUGCUGAUGAUUAUAUUAAGCUUAGGGAUGCUGUUAAUCAAAUGGUGCGAGAUGGGUUUACCUGUGCGAAGCUCAACAGUUAGACAAGAAAAACAGAAAAGAAAAGGCAGCUUGUAGCCCAGUAGGUUGUGCCAGUGCCAAAAGCAAAAAUCCUAAAAGCCCUGUUACUUUCUCUUCCCCUUUACUCUCUCCUCACUAGUCCUUGCAGACUUGCAGUUGCCUCACCCGCCUAUCUCAUGCAGUCAUGCUCAACCACUGUGAAUAGUGAAGACUAUUAAUAAGCAUUCAUGAACGUAUUCGUUCCAUGUCAAACCUUUCAACCUGCUGCUGGCUAUCCCAGGAUAUGGAUUUGGUCCGAUUGAAGUUGCUAAAGGUGCUCAAGCUGCUGAACUAGCAAUGAAUCUGAUUGUAUAGUGCUUUGAAGUUUGAACUUUGAAGGGGUUUCUUUGGCCCUGUUUAAUUCAGAGAUGGCCUGCUAGUGACUCAUGUAAGGAUUGUGCUGAGUGUUGUAAAUUACUUGCGUUGUAGGACACUUAUAUUUUUCUGGAUAUGUUAGUCUAAUAGUCUACUAGUUUAGAGUAGACCAGUUCAUCAAGUCUGGCCUAACAAUAAUCAGGCUAACUGCUGUAUGAAUUUUUCAUCAUCUGUAACAAUUUUCAGCUAAUGUUAGUUAGAGAUAGCAGCCUUUACAAUUUUAA
This is an RNA transcript of Beta vulgaris subsp. vulgaris (sugar beet), 2208 nucleotides long. It is a transcript of the gene named probable L-cysteine desulfhydrase, chloroplastic, with no coding region annotated. NCBI's taxonomy places the organism in Eukaryota, Viridiplantae, Streptophyta, Magnoliopsida, Caryophyllales, Amaranthaceae. The transcript is spliced from 3 exons. The record is from RefSeq and is a predicted model, not a curated record.